CUAAGCAGUGAUGUGGAGCAAAUCCCCAAAAGCAGUCUUAGUUCGGAUUGUAGGCUGCAACCCGCCUACAUGAAGUCGGAAUUGCUAGUAAUCGCGGAUCAGCAUGCCGCGGUGAAUACGUUCCCGGGCCUUGUACACACCGCCCGUCACACCAUGGGAGUUGGUAACACCCGAAGUCAGUAGCCUAACCGCAAGGAGGGCGCUGCCGAAGGUGGGAUCGAUGACUGGGGUGAAGUCGUAACAAGGUAAC
This 250-nucleotide ribosomal RNA is filed under the name uncultured bacterium. RNAcentral describes it as "partial 16S ribosomal RNA". It matches the Rfam family "Bacterial small subunit ribosomal RNA", at positions 1250 to 1500 of the family's 1533-position model. The record is from RNAcentral.